This 576-nucleotide ribosomal RNA is filed under the name uncultured bacterium. Its description in RNAcentral is "bacterial SSU rRNA". It matches the Rfam family "Bacterial small subunit ribosomal RNA", at positions 921 to 1501 of the family's 1533-position model. The record is from RNAcentral.
CCGCACAAGCGGUGGAUGAUGUGGAUUAAUUCGAUGCAACGCGAAAAACCUUACCUACCCUUGACAUGUCCGGAAUCCUGCAGAGAUGCGGGAGUGCCCGAAAGGGAAUCGGAACACAGGUGCUGCAUGGCUGUCGUCAGCUCGUGUCGUGAGAUGUUGGGUUAAGUCCCGCAACGAGCGCAACCCUUAUCAUUAGUUGCUACGCAAGGGCACUCUAAUGAGACUGCCGGUGACAAACCGGAGGAAGGUGGGGAUGACGUCAAGUCCUCAUGGCCCUUAUGGGUAGGGCUUCACACGUCAUACAAUGGUCGGUACAGAGGGUUGCCAAGCCGCGAGGUGGAGCCAAUCCCAGAAAGCCGAUCGUAGUCCGGAUUGUUCUCUGCAACUCGAGAGCAUGAAGUCGGAAUCGCUAGUAAUCGCGGAUCAGCAUGUCGCGGUGAAUACGUUCCCGGGUCUUGUACACACCGCCCGUCACACCAUGGGAGUGGAAUCUGGCAGAAGUAGGUAGCCUAACCGCAAGGAGGGCGCUUACCACGCUGGGUUUCAUGACUGGGGUGAAGUCGUAACAAGGUAACC